Molecule: long non-coding RNA, 1944 nt
Organism: Apis florea (little honeybee)
Lineage: Eukaryota; Metazoa; Arthropoda; Insecta; Hymenoptera; Apidae
Gene: Tret1
Source: RefSeq, a predicted model, not a curated record
AUUGGAAAAAUCUAAUAUUUUAUUUUUAUUUUUUUCUAUUUUUUAUUUUUAAUUCUCAUCAAGAGAAAUAAGUCAUAUGUAAAAUAUACAUAUUUUUGCCAAUCGAUUUUGUUUGACAAUUGUAAUACAUCGUAAAAUGAAUAAAUAAAUUCGAUUUUUACGACAGUUGCGAUGAAGAAAAAGUAAAAAUCGAAGUAAAAAAUGAAUGCAACAUUGGUUAGUUUCUAAAAAAUGGGCGAGAUUGUUAAACCAAAUAUCGAUAUGAUAGAUUAUAUAAAUGCAAAGAAAACAGAUUAUUCUGGAUAUAUGUCGCAUUUUCAAUCUGCGUCAAAUUCAUAUGAGAAGCCGCGAAACGACGUGUGACUACAUCGCGUUGACGCGUCUGGAUAGAAAAAAGAAAAACGAAAAAGAAAAAGAAAAAGAAAAAGAGGAUAAAGUUGGUCGAAGCGAAACGAGAUGCGACUUAUGGCGAAGAAAGAUAGGACGAACAGCAGUUACGCCUGGCGAGAUAUGGUAAAGAGAGGUGAGGUGAGGUGAAACGAGGCAGGAUAAAGCGCGACGAGACGAAACAUGGAACAGAUAGGUGAGAGGCAAGAGACGAAGCAACUGAGAGAAAGAAGGGUGAGAGGAAGUGCCGGGUCACCGCGCGUCCCCCACCAGUUACACGCGCCCCAAUAGAAGAGGCGGCGCUUACGACCACACCGGUCUCUAUAUAAAAGAGACAAACCCCCCGAUCUGAUUAGCAAAGUUUCAAACACACGUAAAAGUGCAUUUCACUUAUAUUUUAUACGAUUUAAGUUUACGGAUAAACAAAAAAAAUAAUAAAAAAUUUAUAACACAGAUAUAAACUAUAUUUUCACGUGUUUAAAUCGAAGGAAAAACGUAUCAACACAGAAAAUCAAAUUGAUACCAAUAAUUAGCGAUAAAUGAAGAAUCAUCUAAAGAUAAUUGAUAAACUGAAGUGGUAAUAGAUCAGAAAAAUUUUGAAAAAUCGAAAUUGUAAAUGUGAGAAGUCACAUAGAGACGCAUGCCACAAGCGCGGUAAAUGUAGCAGGAAUAGCGCGGCGAAUCAGGAACGUAGGAAACAUACAAAGCAAACAACAGGGAAACAACGGAUAACACGGCACGACACGGCACGGUACUGUACGAACAACAGCAACACUAGAGAGCAGGAGGGUAGCUGUGGUGUCGCUGGUACCGCUUAGCAGUGGUGGUAGUUCGAGUUCGAGCUAACUAAGAAAUACGUUGAACCGUCCACGCGGCAUCAUUUAGACUUUAACCAUUCCCUGCGCAGUCUUGUAAGGGUGGUUUGUGUACACGUGGGAAAAGAAAGCGAAAAAAAAAUAGCUUUUACGCGCGCGUUUCAUUUAUUUGAAAAAUAGAUUGCGUGAUUCAUUUUCAAAAUCUUCAUUAUCGAAAACUAUAUUUUCAUCAAAGUUGUAUCGAAUGAAACAUUAUUUAUUGCGCAUAGCAAAUACAAGCGACUCGUGACACAUUAUUAAGGACACUGUAAACGAGAUUGCAAGUCACGAGAAAUUUCACAGAAAGGAAUAUACUUAGUUUGCACGACAAGAGAAGUUGCAAAGCAUCAAACCAAAAAAAGAGGUAGCAACGGGUAAAAAAGAAGAAAGUCGAUAGAGUUUCGAGAAUUUGGUUGCGAGUUGAAUGUGAAGAUUCACGUGACGCGAUCCAGUUCGACCAGGCGACAACACGCAGCACUGACACAACGCGAACAUUUUGAGGCGUGACGACAAAAUGUCCAAUUCCGAAAGGAGACAGAUGCAGAAAUGGCCUCUGUGCCUAGUACCUCUUUCAAGAACGAAGGAUUUGUCUACCAGAAUCAUCGAUCGGCAUGUACGAUCUACACACAUGAAUCUAAAGAUGACAUGAAAUUUUGUAACACAACAAAAAAUUUUUUAAUAAAUUAUUAUUUUUAAUAAAUUA